GGCCCCGUGGCGGAGCGGUUACGCAGGGGAGUGCAAAUCUCUAUAGCUUGGUUCGAAUCCAAGCGGGGCCUCCA
This 74-nucleotide transfer RNA is filed under the name Pararhizobium capsulatum DSM 1112. RNAcentral's name for it is "tRNA-Cys". It matches the Rfam family "tRNA". Rfam says of the family: Transfer RNA (tRNA) molecules are approximately 80 nucleotides in length. Their secondary structure includes four short double-helical elements and three loops (D, anti-codon, and T loops). Further hydrogen bonds mediate the characteristic L-shaped molecular structure. tRNAs have two regions of fundamental functional importance: the anti-codon, which is responsible for specific mRNA codon recognition, and the 3' end, to which the tRNAs corresponding amino acid is attached (by aminoacyl-tRNA synthetases). tRNAs cope with the degeneracy of the genetic code in two manners: having more than one tRNA (with a specific anti-codon) for a particular amino acid; and 'wobble' base-pairing, i.e. permitting non-standard base-pairing at the 3rd anti-codon position. The record is from RNAcentral. Lineage: Bacteria; Pseudomonadati; Pseudomonadota; Alphaproteobacteria; Hyphomicrobiales; Rhizobiaceae.